AUGCAGCCAUGCCCGCUCUCAGGCUUCUCUCUGCUCCUGUAAACUUUUAAAAUUGUACUGAAAAUAUAACAUCUUAAUUUUGAAAAAUGUUCUAAAAUUCUGUGGAGAAAUGUUUAAAUUCGGAUUUGCAAAAGAUGCAAUCGAUUCGGACGAAGAAAAUGAUGACAAGGAAAAGGAAUUAGAAUGGAUUCCCGCGUCAAAGCUUCAAAUAACAUCCGAACAAAUCGGAGAAAAAUAUGAAGCAGACUGUUAUGGAGAAAUAAAAAUAUUCUCUGGUUAUAAUUUGAAAUUAGUUCGCUUUGAUAAAAUAUGGGAAAACUUUAUUAGUACGUGGAAGCAAAAUCAGAGUAUCGUCGAGGCAGAGUUACGACAUUCCGAUCUUAUUCCAGCGAAAUACGAAGGUGGUUUGAAAAUAUGGGAAUCCUCUUUUGAUUUGGGUCAAUAUAUGCUGAAAGAGAAAAUCGAACUGAAGGAUAAGCUUGUCCUGGAUUUGGGAUGCGGUGCAGGAUUAAUUGGCAUUAUUGCUCUUCUCCAAAACUCCACAGUCCAUUUUCAAGAUUACAAUGCAGAAGUUCUAAGAUCCUUGACCAUACCGAACGUGUUAUCGAACUUUGACAAUCAUAUGAGCAUAUUAUCUAGAUGCGAAUUUUAUGCUGGGGAUUGGAAGUCCUUUGCAACACUUUUCGACGAUGACGAGAGUAAAAGAUACGAUUAUAUUUUUACGAGCGAGACAAUCUAUAAUCCGGAUAAUUACAAAAAGCUAUAUGAGAUUUUUAAAAAGAGGCUGAAGAUCGACGGUGUUAUAUUCGUCGCUGGAAAAAUUUAUUAUUUUGGUGUGGGUGGUGGGAUGAGGCAAUUCGAGAGUUUUGUGCAGAAUGAAGGGCACUUCGACGUUAAAACUAUCUGGAAGACUUCAUGUGGACUGAACCGUGAAAUACUAAAACUUAUGAGGAAGAUUCAUUAAGGAUCCUUGCAUCUCCACCAGCGAAAAACAAGAUUUUUGUCUCGAUACUAUACAGAUAUCAUAUAUUGUUCUUUCCAUAUAAAUUAUUAUCUUUGAGCAAAUAUGAGAAGAAAAUUGCGAGGAGCUAAUUGUUCAUCUGUCUACUAUCCUAAGAACGUUGUAUUUCUUAUUAUUCUAUUCCAAUGACAAUACCGUGCGUUUUUC
Molecule: unclassified non-coding RNA, 1168 nt
Filed under: Harpegnathos saltator (Jerdon's jumping ant)
Lineage: Eukaryota; Metazoa; Arthropoda; Insecta; Hymenoptera; Formicidae
Description: histidine protein methyltransferase 1 homolog, transcript variant X1
Source: RNAcentral